GAGUUUGAUCAUGGCUCAGAUUGAACGCUGGCGGCAGGCCUAACACAUGCAAGUCGAGCGGAUGACGGGAGCUUGCUCCUUGAUUCAGCGGCGGACGGGGUGAGUAAUGCCUAGGAAUCUGCCUGGUAGUGGGGGACAACGUUUCGAAAGGAACGCUAAUACCGCAUACGUCCUACGGGAGAAAGCAGGGGACCUUCGGGCCUUGCGCUAUCAGAUGAGCCUAGGUCGGAUUAGCUAGUUGGUGGGGUAAUGGCUCACCAAGGCGACGAUCCGUAACUGGUCUGAGAGGAUGAUCAGUCACACUGGAACUGAGACACGGUCCAGACUCCUACGGGAGGCAGCAGUGGGGAAUAUUGGACAAUGGGCGAAAGCCUGAUCCAGCCAUGCCGCGUGUGUGAGGAAGGUCUUCGGAUUGUAAAGCACUUUAAGUUGGGAGGAAGGGCAGUAAGUUAAUACCUUGCUGUUUGACGUUACGACAGAAUAAGCACCGGCUAACUCUGUGCCAGCAC
This 509-nucleotide ribosomal RNA is filed under the name bacterium enrichment culture clone ALO1_GLFRUDD03FLA6Q. RNAcentral describes it as "bacterial SSU rRNA". It matches the Rfam family "Bacterial small subunit ribosomal RNA", at positions 9 to 514 of the family's 1533-position model. The record is from RNAcentral.